CACACUUGGAAGGGGAAGACUCGGGCUGUUCUCAGUGGUGUGUCUAAGGUUUUAGAUGUCCUCCUUUUUUCGCAGGGAGGCCGUUAAAUCGUGCUGCUGGGAACCAUACGGGCAGAUACUUAACUUUAAAAAAAAGCUAUCACAGCAAGGCUUUUUCAUCAAGAGGAAAAGGACUUCUGAGAUCUUGCCCUAGAGCGGCUUUUCUGUACUAUGCUUGAGUGCAGCAAGCAUUUAUUAGUCCAAUCCAAUCUCUGUGGAGAAGAUUGGAUUGCCGUGAUCAUCAAAUUAAAUCAACAAUUCCCACAAUGGGAACAAAAAAAUUGUACGUGUGCUGCAUUUUGAGAUCCUCAACAAUUUGCAAGAGAAUGUGGAAGUGCAGAGUAAGAUAAUGAUCCAUUUCUGUGGGGGACCAAGGCCACAGGAGGAAGAAGCAGCUUCGGUAGGUCGUCCCUGCAUGUGUGGUUUCCUC
This 469-nucleotide long non-coding RNA is filed under the name Calidris pugnax (ruff). RNAcentral's name for it is "lncRNA (ENSCPUG00000019946.1)". Lineage: Eukaryota; Metazoa; Chordata; Aves; Charadriiformes; Scolopacidae. The record is from RNAcentral.